AUUUUUUUAUUGUUUCUUAAGCAUGAUGAGUGGGUUUUCACGUUCAUGUGUGAGGUGUGCCUCCCUCAAACCUUGUUAUGAUGUCAACACAUUGCCUAUCUGAUG
This is a non-coding RNA of Pongo abelii (Sumatran orangutan), 105 nucleotides long. Lineage: Eukaryota; Metazoa; Chordata; Mammalia; Primates; Hominidae. The record is from Rfam.